GCUGUGGUUGGGUCUCAGUGGUAGAGCACUUGCCUAUCAUGUGUGAGGCACUGGGUUUGAUUCUCAGCACAGCA
RNAcentral lists this transfer RNA (74 nucleotides) under Marmota monax (woodchuck). RNAcentral's name for it is "tRNA.Asp". Lineage: Eukaryota; Metazoa; Chordata; Mammalia; Rodentia; Sciuridae. The record is from RNAcentral.